This 466-nucleotide ribosomal RNA is filed under the name uncultured bacterium. Its description in RNAcentral is "partial 16S ribosomal RNA". It matches the Rfam family "Bacterial small subunit ribosomal RNA", at positions 28 to 507 of the family's 1533-position model. The record is from RNAcentral.
GAUGAACGCUGGCGGCGUGCUUAACACAUGCAAGUCGAACGAUGAAGCCCAGCUUGCUGGGCGGGUUAGUGGCGAACGGGUGGGUAACACGUGAGUAACCUGCCCUUAACUAUGGGAUAAGCAUGGGAAAGUGGGUCUAAUACCGGAUAGGAGCGUCCACCGCAUGGUGGGGGUUGGAAAGAUUUAUCGGUUUUGGAUGGAUUCGCGGCCUAUCAGCUUGUUGGUGGGGUAAUGGCUAACCAAGGGGACGACGGGUAGCCGGCCUGGGAGGGUGACCGGCGACACUGGGACUGAGAGACGGCGCAGUCUCCAACGGGAGGCAGCAGUGGGGAGUAUUGCGGAAUGGGGGCGCGCCUGUGGUGGAGACGCUCCGUGAGGAAUAACGGGCUUCUGGUUGUGAACAUCUUUCUGUAGAGAAGAAGAGAAAGUGACGGUACCUGCAGAAGAAGCACCGGCUAACUACGUG